ACUAAACAUUUUUUUUUCUUUUUUUUUUUAGUUUCUUCAUCUUCUCUCACGUCUCUUCCUCUCCUACUCUCUUUCUCUCCACUGUGAAAAAGCUAUCUUCUACUCUUCCAUUCUUUCUCUUUUCUUUUACAGAUCUAGUCGCCUUUGCACGGAACGGAGAUUCAAUCGACCAGUACACGUGAAGCUGUGUCCCCUUUGCGCUUUUGCAGAGCAUGGCAAACUCGAUUUCGAGUUUGUUUAAGAUGGAUAUGAGUCCUUCUCUGUGCCAGACUGAGUGGUUGCGAGCAGAGAUGCUGGUCCGUGGUCGUGAGCAGCCAUGAAAUAUUCUGAUUUCAAGAAAGACGAGACGGAGUUCCAGUAGAUCUGGAAGAAGCUGGAGGAGAUGAGGCUUCAUGUGGAAGACGACGUCCACAUGGAGAUGAUGAUGAAACACGACCAUGUCCAACGGCGAUGGAAGGAGGUGGAGGACUACCGGUACGGUGGUUGAAGACUUUGACGGUGGAAAAAAAGAUGAAGCUAUGGCGGCUGAGUUUCUUUUUAUUUUAGGUUUAGUGUUUUUUAGGUUUUUUUUUGGUUUUGCAAACCAAAUUGUAGAAAUUGUGGUUGGUUACUUUAUUUUUUAAUUUCUGGUUUAUUUUUGUAGACCGGAAUUUAUUUACAUAAAACAAUUUCAGUUUCAA
This is a long non-coding RNA of Raphanus sativus (radish), 680 nucleotides long. RefSeq lists it as uncharacterized. The transcript has 2 exons. Lineage: Eukaryota; Viridiplantae; Streptophyta; Magnoliopsida; Brassicales; Brassicaceae. The record is from RefSeq and is a predicted model, not a curated record.